This 297-nucleotide ribosomal RNA is filed under the name bacterium enrichment culture clone ALO1_GLFRUDD03FKR92. RNAcentral's name for it is "partial 16S ribosomal RNA". It matches the Rfam family "Bacterial small subunit ribosomal RNA", at positions 9 to 306 of the family's 1533-position model. RNAcentral also lists the same sequence under 1 other name. The record is from RNAcentral.
GAGUUUGAUCCUGGCUCAGAUUGAACGCUGGCGGCAUGCCUUACACAUGCAAGUCGAACGGCAGCACGGGAGCUUGCUCCUGGUGGCGAGUGGCGAACGGGUGAGUAAUGCAUCGGAACGUAUCCUGGAGUGGGGGAUAACGUAGCGAAAGUUACGCUAAUACCGCAUAUUCUGUGAGCAGGAAAGCGGGGGACCUUCGGGCCUCGCGCUCUUGGAGCGGCCGAUGUCGGAUUAGCUAGUUGGUGAGGUAAAGGCUCACCAAGGCGACGAUCCGUAGCAGGUCUGAGAGGAUGAUCU